Pollicipes pollicipes is the source of this 464-nucleotide long non-coding RNA. RefSeq lists it as uncharacterized. Lineage: Eukaryota; Metazoa; Arthropoda; Thecostraca; Pollicipedomorpha; Pollicipedidae. The transcript has 3 exons. The record is from RefSeq and is a predicted model, not a curated record.
UUGUACUCUUGUGAUGGGUUUGCCUCCCCAUCCAUCGUUCAGUUGAGCCCUUGAAAGAAAUGUUUCGCAUUUAAAGAUACUGAAGCAAGCAUUAGAUAUGAAGAAGCAAGUUCACUUACGUUCAUUGGCACGUCGGAGCAACACGCCCAGGUCUUUCCCCGAACCCAGGUCGGCUGCAGCUGGCCGGUUUUCGUGUCUGCGGUCAGCUGCCUCGCCGGCUUUGUCACCAGCGCCUGGGUUCUCGAAACAACCGACCUUACAAGAUAUUUAAGACCUUGUGAAACCUGCCAGUGAAACCUGCGAAACCCAGCAUUGUCAAAAAGGACGAUGGGUAUGUUAUGCAUUCUACAGGCUCGUGUAUUAAGUGAACGUGAAACUCCCCCAGAACCUGACGUUAGUUAUGACUGAAAGUUUCAAGGCAGGUUAGCGUGCCGGUUACGUAUCCUGUACAGUCGCUCGACCCA